Molecule: unclassified non-coding RNA, 7300 nt
Filed under: Haliotis rufescens (red abalone)
Lineage: Eukaryota; Metazoa; Mollusca; Gastropoda; Lepetellida; Haliotidae
Description: protein FAM149B1-like, transcript variant X4
Source: RNAcentral
GGUGGCAAUCAGGCUGGUGAAAGCAAGCUCUGCUAUAGGUUGGACUUACUCUCAGUGUUAGAAUGGGAUGAGAGAACAAGCUGAGAGGAUGUUAAGAUGGAUAAUGCCAAGAAUAGACAGUGUAUUGGAUGAUCAUUAUGGAGCGUGUUGUUUGAUAUGAUGUGCUUCAUUGACUUGUGAUGGGCACAAUAGCAGCAUUGCUUGGGAUGAGCACUCCGGAAAGCUUUUGGAUCUGUUUCACUAGCCACUACUCAUUUCACAAUUGUUAACAGUGUUGUGUGUUCAUCCAGGUUCUUGCAAACAGGUGCUUUCCAGGUUGUCUGCUUCUAGUGCUUUUAUUAUGAAUCCUACCUUAAUGCACCAGAGUGUUUUUGGCUUGAAUGUUUUCAAAUCAGUUUGCAUUAUCAUGUCAGCCAAAGCCAUUUACUUUGUAGUAAUUGGAAUUGAUCAAGGCACUAUUUAGAGUCCAAACGUGUAUAAUUUGCCAAAUAUACAAGAUUUUUCCAUUGUCAAAAAUUAAGUGCCUUGGUGAACUGUGAUAUGAUCUAGAGACCAUUGAAAUGCUUGUCAAAAUUAGUGGAUUUAUGUUCUAGAUAUCAUUAAUGGGAAGAAAGACUUGUGUUAUUUGAGCUGUUUGGGUGAAGUUAAGGAGGUUUUCAGGUGCAUUAAGUGAUAGGUGUUGAUAGGGGCAACUGAGGUCGACAGUUAUUCAAAUAGCCCUUGGACAGGGCAGUGUUAACAGUGCCUUAGGUCUUGUUCCUGUGCUUCCAAGUUACAGAGAUUUUUUUGACUGCCAAAAGUACUUUAGCCCGCCAUUAGGAAGCUUUACAGUGGACUUGCCAGAGACUGACAGCAGUUGUGUUGUCUUGUGAACCAUAUUUGCUUUAAAUGAGCCACAUUGAUCCAAUCAAAGGAUAUUAAUGUGUUACCAGUUUGUAUCCAACAGUAAUUCCAAAUAGGCUGAAAAUUUCUACAUAACAACAGAUUUGAAACAAAAUCUGGCAUGAGAAACAUUCAGGAUAUAUGACAAGAGGAUCCUUCCAUCCAGUGGUGUGUCUUCAAUAUACACGGCUUCAUUAUGGAAUGUGUGAUGCAGCUCUAGCUGUGACAUCAAACCUCACGCCCCCUGAUGCAGCCUAAAGUGUCCGCGUUUUGCCCUGAUGACACUCCACGUUGCAGGUGUUGAUCCAGACACCCAUGCACACCUGACUUACCUGCUGUUGAAGCAGUUGCCCCACCUGUCCCCCGCGAACCUGCCCCCUCACGCCUAUACGCUGGCACACACAGGCAGGGGUAAGGGAUAUGGUCCUCCGCUACCCCCGCUGAUUGCCCUGGGGAAAGGGGCGCCAUCAUCGUCAUCAUCUUCACGAGUGACAUCGGUUUCAUCAUCCAGUGGAAGUUUUGUACGGGAGCGAUUAGAUGAGAUUCUUGUAGUCCGAGGACGAGGCUUUACCCGCACACCUAUCGAUGACCGCCCACCGCUUGACAGUGUUGAUGAGGAUCCCAUCAUGCGUCAGAUCCUGGACAGCAUACAUGAGCCUGUAUCAAGCCUCAACACAACCCCAGCAAGCAGUGGGCGGUCCUCCCCCACGAUCGAAUCACACAGCACCCUGUCAGCAUCACAUGGAGGGUGGACGACUGGCAACACCACCGAGAGGAGCAGCCUUGACUCCUCCUACUCUUGGGAUGAGUUUGACCGCCAGGCAGCAAAGACAGUGAACCAGCUGUUUGAUGAGAUUGAGCGGUUCUUGUUCGAAGGCAGCAGUGAGAACCCGUCCAGUAUAUUCAAGGAAUGCAAGGAUUGGAGCACACACUUUCCUCAUCUCAGGGUUUUGGGCACCCAGAAGGUGGAGCCCCAGGAUGAGGGUUUUCAGGAGAUCCCCCAGGACAGUCCUCGACUCUCCUCACCAGGGCUGCUCCUUGACGUCACAGACAACGACAUCUCCAUAUCAGCUGAUUCUCAGGGGCUCAGUGUAACGGGUAGACAGAUGAAGGCGAUGAAGGCACCCGUGGAUGCGGCAGCUAUCCACACAGACCGGGACUACUCCAAGAAUGAGUAUGCCUAUCUCUUUGAGGAAAUACUGGCACAAGAUGGCGUCUACGAGGAGGUCAUCGCCAUCGACUACAAGGAUGUCCAUGAAGACUCUGAACACAAGAAGCAGAUCACCCCUCGACGACGGCGGAUAGGUUAUCCCCCCAUCACCCCCAACGCUUGUGUGAAAGAUAGUGUAGCUAGUUCCGUGUUUGACUGCAUGUGGAAUGAGAUCAUCUCCUGGAUGAGGCCAAUUAUAAAGGAAUAUACCAUUCUAAUAGAAUCCAAACAAGAUCUAGUGCCUUCAUCAGGGUUCCAUGUGUCGCCCAUCGGCCUCCAUGACCCAGGACGCACAACCAGGGAGUCGUCCUACAUGGGCUUGAUGCAACCCAGACCAUUCCAGGCCCUGACACUACAGCGGGCCCACACUCACAUCGGCACGACAGACCCGCAGAAAUCCAUCGAUGGUUGUCUCCAGAUCUCCAGGGUUACUCUCAAAAACAAGAAUGCACCAGAGUCGACUGAUUCGGAAUCGGUAUCCCCGGCUCGACCUAGCUCCAGCAUGAUUGGCAAGCGGCCGACUAGCGUGAAGAUUCUGCCCUACCCCAGUCGGCGCAAGGCCCUGGCGCCUCUCCCUGACAGGUCCAAGACACCAAGUGUGGAGGAGGAGAUGCCAAACAGUAUCAGCAUCAGACGAAUAACACCCGCCCCCAUACAGAAGAACACCGCCCUCCCACCUCUAGCCUACGACCCGCAGCAGGAGAAGGGCAAGCGGAAAAUGACCUCGUUACGAGUCAGCAGUGCUAUUGAGAACAAGGAUGUGCGAACGCUUCACUUCAACCGGGAGAAGAGCAACCCGUCCAUCGACCCACGGCCCAGUACAACUCAUGCAAUGAGAUCUGAUACUCCUUUUCAAAUGGGAACUUCCGGGCGUCGGUCGUCAACACCGCUGGGCUACAGCAGGGGUAUGCUUCAUGGCAGCAAGUCUCUCGGCAUCACCGGCAGCAGUCUCCAGCACUCGUCCGACCUCGGUCCACCUCCCAACAUCAUGGAGAAUGAAGGGAUGGAAGAGAGUCCACUACACAACCAGUGGCCACCAAAUGCAUCUCGGAGGAGGACUGUGCGUACUUGAUAGGACAUGAGAAUUUUGCAAUGUGUGCAAGUUCGUGCCAUCAAUUGUGUCUUUCCACACUCAAGGAACUUAUCCCUUCAUCCUAACUUGUGAUACCAAACAGAAGAUGAGGACAUAGCCUGUGAUACAGGGAGAACCCGAUACACGCAGAGAACCCAUUAUGUAGAGAGAGCAAGUCGGGGGGUCUCUCAACAAGCACCUGUCUGUCCAGCUCUUAGCCAAAUGUCAAUGCCACGGUCUCUUGCUUCAACCUCUACAGCACUAGAAGUGGUGCAUCCAGGGAUGUGACACCGCUGUGUUUCUAAGAGGAUGUUGGGAUAGUAAAGGAUUCUGUUUCAAAAGGAAAGGUGGUUUAUUUUCUGCAUGUAACACCGCUGCCUUUCUUAGCUGAAGUUUGGAUGGUACAGGAUUCUGUUUCAAAAGGAAAGGUGGUUUGUUUUCUACAUGUAACAAUGUAUGGUAUGAAGAGAUGUGUCAUAUGUCCAAGUGUGUGUCCAUAGUCUCGGGCCCAUGCUUCAAUCACAAGAGGGGCACACAGAGUGUCAACCUUCAUGUUUCGGGCCAUGCUGCAGCUGAAACGCUAUCCGUGAGUGUCGGCACACAUAGGAGUGGUAGGACUGAGACGUGAUGUAUCAGCCCACUGGACCAUGUUCACAAAGGUCCAGCACUGUUCAACUGUAUUGUAUCAAUCAGACAUUUGGGAUUCUGGUCUCAGUGUAAGGAAAGCACACAUGACUUGUCUAUCAGACUUACUGUGAUAUGGUGCCUCUGGUGCCCUCCGGCUUCAGUGGGGGCCUCCUGCAGUUCCUGUGAUUAUUGUCAAGUUGGGCCUCAUCGGUCACAUUUACUCAGCCUGAUCUUUACCUCAUGCGAGUGUUAAGUAGUCCUGGAAACAAAUCUACAGACCUAUAUUUACAGAUAUUCUAAUAACACAAUAAUGAACACAAUAAUGAACACAAUAAUGAACACAAUAAUACAGAGACUCCUCACCAUGUAAUAUCGCCUACUGUAGAUCUGUUAUCUGUUAGCUGUGUUGUGAUUGUCAUUAUGAAUCCUGUGAUAUGUUCGACUAACCUGACACACACCAGGGGCAGCUGCUGCUUAGUCGUGCUUUGCCAACUUAGAGCCACUGUAUUGAGCUGUUUCUGUCCCAAGUAGCAAUAUUCAAGCCAUGCCUCGACCUGGCAAACCAGUGAUUGAUUGCAGGAGCACAGUCCACAUGGAUGACACACCUUUGGCAAGGUCACACAUUGUGACCAACCGAUCCUCAUCUUAGUCUACUUCAACAAGCAUGGGUUUGUAGGAUCUGCCAGGACAUGGUACCACAAGGCUGCUGUCUGUACUCCAGGGAUUAUUCAUUUGAAUCCUUAUGAAGCAAGUUCAGCUGCUUAGUCAGCUAAUGUGGGCCAUGAUACUAUCAUAGUUACAUUAGAACUAGUGGUGGGACGAUACACCGAAGCAUCGCUGGAUAGUGAUUUUUUACUUCUCUACAGUAAAAAGUAUCGCUUCUUACCUUUAUAUGUUUUCUUGAAUAAGUGUUACACCAAACACUAAUUACUAAUGAAAAUGAGUAGGGAAAACGUAAAUAUUUUCUUCCAUUGUGCCAUACCUGACACUGCCAACUGUUAAUCAUUAGUGUGCCAGGUAUUUGGCAAUCCUGUCUAUGAAAAAAGUGGCUUACGCAUCACAGAUAAGUGCACAUGCAAGUAUCAUGAUACGUAUCGGAUCGUGAGCAAGGUAUCGUGAUACGUAUCGGAUCGCACAGUUGGUGUAUCGUCCCAGCCCUAAUUAGAACUGACAGUGGCACGUAAUUAGCUUCAAGGGGAUGUGAUACGUAUCGGAUCGUGAGCAAGGUAUCGUGAUACGUAUCGGAUCGCACAGUUGGUGUAUCGUCCCAGCCCUAAUUAGAACUGACAGUGGCAUGUAAUUAGCUUCAAGGGGAUGUGAUACGUUAAUGUUGAUCUGUAGGGCCACAGUACCUUGUUUUGUUGAACCAUUCCGUGUAGUGCUUCCCAGUCUGCUGUGACAUGAUGACAUUGGUCUCAGUGUUGGUGCCAUGCCCCUGCAGGCAGACAAUUCAACAGUCAUUCUUAGAUAGCCAUUCAUAGAGCAGUUGUCUUUGAUUUGGGAGGUUAUCAAAAGGUUGAUGAAGCUGAUAAAACUAAUUAAUUUAUUUGUAUUUUUGAGAGAACUUACUAUCUCUUUGAUAUCAGAGGCAGUCACUGUCAUUACUUAAUAAAUUGCUUAAGAUGUUUUGUUAGUCUUUUUUUUUUUUUAAAGCCUGCUUUAAGUUUGCUGGUGAAAGAAAGGGAGUUUGACACAAGCAACAGUUCAAACCUUAAAUUCAUGCAGGCUUUCAGAUUGGUAUGUCUUCAAGGACAUUGACUGAUUGUAUUCUAAAAUGUCCUGAAGAUCUUAUUCAAAUAUGGUAAUGAAACAGAAGAUUGUUCUAUCAAGUGUUGAUAAAAUCCUGAAAAUUCCCUCAUGACAUUUUUUGGAAAUAUAAGUAGUCUGACAGGCAAUUUCCUGUUAUUAACAUUACAAUAAUUAAUUUGACAGCAAUUUAUUGACCUCGAUUCAACCCUGUUAUGUUUGCUCCUGCAUCAUUGACAGAUCAAUCUUCAAAUGUUUUACUGUUUUAAAUGAAUACUGGUUUAGUUACAGAAAUUAUUAUAAAAAAAGGCAGCUCUAUGAUUUGUCCACCUGCCUGAGCAACAUGUAUAAGCCAGGACACGGAACAUGUUUAAGCCAGGACACGGAACAUGACACGGAACAUGUUUAAGCCAGGACACGGAACAUGUUUAAGCCAGGACACGGAACAUGUUUAAGCCAGGACACGGAACAUGUUUAAGCCAGGACACGGAACAUGACACGGAACAUGUUUGUUGUUGCAAUGUGUUCUGUUGUUGAGAACUGUAGCCUCAAAUAGUUCGCGCUGCUCUUUUCAUCUCAUAUAUGGUGCCACAAUCAUUAAUCAUUAUGCACAAGGGUCAAUAUGUAAUUUGUUUUUAUGAAAGUGCUACUGAUGUAAAUACUGUACAGAUGUGUUUGAAUGUUACUUGUUAUCAUCUAGCAUCAUGAACAAACUACUCGCAUGUGUACCACAGCCUCGCCUACAUACGGGUUACCUAAUCAUUCUUGUAGAUCCGAGGAUGUAACAUAUUUCUGUUGAUGACUGUUAAUCUCUUGGAGACUUGGGUAAUCAACAUCCUGAUGGGGGUAAACAAACAAACAAACAAACAAACAAACAAACAAACUGAUGGUUAUGAAAGAACACUGUCUUGUCUCUUAACAAAUGCAAAUGUUUAGAAUAGAAAACAAUCCAAAAAAGUGUCCAUAUGAUGGGAAUACCUGUUUCUUAAUACAUGUAGUUCCUGCAAGUGGUGACUAUAUGUGACCCUAGCUUUUCUAUGGCUGCCAAAUUUUAGAAUUGAUUCGAUUGGCAUACAUACUCCAUAAUUAUGAUCAGAUCUGGGCAUGUAGUUAAGUUGAAAAGCGAUAAUUGUAAAGUUAGACUUUCUUUUGAAUCUCUCUUCAGCCAUGGGCUUGGCAUUUCAACAUUAAUGCAACUUGUAGCUUUCUUUCAGUCUCAGUGUGGCAAACGAUUAUUUUAAAAAUAUAUUUCGCUUGCAGCUAGAGUACAAUUGUGUACAAUUUACAUUACUGUCUGAUAUCUAUUACAGUUCUGUUAGAAGGCAUGAAUGUAUCUACCUCCAAUUAGGUUUUUUUUAAAAUGCAAAAAACUAUUUCCCAACAGCGGAUCUUGUGCUUAAAUGUGAUGACUGGGUAAUUUGUAUUGAUGUUAUUCUUGCCACACUGACAUUGUAUAGAAAGGUAUUGGUUUUCAUCGAGGAGGUACCACUUGUCUGUGGGUCUUAAGCAUUGUGUAGAUAAUGUGUAUCCUCCUGACUAACCUUUGUAUGGACUAAUAUGGUUCAAGAACUAAUGGCUUAUAUGCAUAUUGUAUGGUGUACUCAUUUCUCAUUAUCAAGUUUCAAUGUGAUUAUUUCCGUUACUAGGAAUGUUAUCAACUGGCAGUUGUACAUAUGAAAGCUUUGUGAUUACAUCAAUGUAGCCAUGUGCAAUAAAUGGAACAGCCAGGUACAUAGUUGUAAAUAAAUACAUUUCUCUUAUCA